RNAcentral lists this ribosomal RNA (520 nucleotides) under uncultured Glomus. RNAcentral describes it as "SSU rRNA". It matches the Rfam family "Eukaryotic small subunit ribosomal RNA", at positions 569 to 1086 of the family's 1831-position model. The record is from RNAcentral. Lineage: Eukaryota; Fungi; Glomeromycota; Glomeromycetes; Glomerales; Glomeraceae.
AGCAGCCGCGGUAAUUCCAGCUCCAAUAGCGUAUAUUAAAGUUGUUGCAGUUAAAAAGCUCGUAGUUGAAUUUCGGGGUUAGUAGGUUGGUCAUGCCUCUGGUAUGCACUGGUCUCACUGAUUCCUCCUUCCUGAUGAGCCGUAAUGCCAUUAAUUUGGUGUUGCGGGGAAUUUGGACUGUUACUUUGAAAAAAUUAGAGUGUUUAAAGCAAGCUAACGCUUGAAUACAUUAGCAUGGAAUAAUGAAAUAGGACGUUCGAUCCUAUUUUGUUGGUUUCUAGGAUUGACGUAAUGAUUAAUAGGGAUAGUUGGGGGGCAUUAGUUAUUCAAUUGUUCAGAGGUGAAAUUCUUGGAUUUAUUGAAGACUAACUACUGCGAAAGCAUUUGCCAAGGAUGUUUUCAUUAAUCAAGAACGAAAGUUAGGGGAUCGAAGACGAUCAGAUACCGUCGUAGUCUUAACCAUAAACUAUGCCGACUAGGGAUCGGAUGAUGUUAAUUUUUAACGUACUCAUUACGGUGC